This is a long non-coding RNA of Phycodurus eques (leafy seadragon), 283 nucleotides long. RefSeq lists it as uncharacterized. The transcript is spliced from 3 exons. Lineage: Eukaryota; Metazoa; Chordata; Actinopteri; Syngnathiformes; Syngnathidae. The record is from RefSeq and is a predicted model, not a curated record.
UGUGGCGCAUGCAAAAGCGCUGCGACUUUUCAUGGAUACUUUGCUGCCGGUGUUGGAGCUAGGGUGGAACUUCUUGCCAUGGCCGCUCUGUUUGGGCUUAUUUGUGUGUCCCUUCUGUUGUUGGCCUGCUUGUGUUUUUCUCCUCAAAGUGGUUUCAAAGAAGAUGCAUCAAGUAGCUACCCCAGGAUACUGGAUCCACAAGCCUUCACCCAGGAUCAGGACUCUGUUGCUCAAAACCAUGGCACAGAUGAUGAGCGACACCAGAGCUUAGUUCCCCAAGCCA